AUGCGUCAUGCCUCAGGCUCAGAUCCUGCCUGGAAAAUGUCAGAUGAAUUUUUGUUGGCAUAUGUGCUACCUGAACAGUCCCCUGCCAGAACCUUUGCUGUGAGCAAUCCAAAAGCUGGCCAAGCUCCUCAAGGCUGGCCAGGCUCCAACCCUCGGAGUAACCUAAGUGCUCCACCUGCUGUGCUAUCUGGACUCUCCCCAAGUACAGCACCCUCCACUUUGCCUUUUGGACCAGCACCAACAGGAAUUUAUCCUUCCAUCCCUCUGACUGGACCAUCACCAGGUUCCCCACCACCCUUUCUUCCUUCUGAACUGUCAUGUCCCCAACCCAGUGGUCCUUAUCCAGCCCCUGUCGUAAGAGGCCCUGGUCCCAUAGGGCCGUAUGCUACACCAAAUAUGCACCUUCCAGAGCUACCUAGGCAAUAUGGUGCACCCACAGAUCCAGCUGCAGCUGCUACUUCAGUGUCAGGAGCACCACCUGUUCCAUGGGGCACUGUGCCACCAGGACCCUGGGGACCACCAGCACCAUAUCCUGACCCUGAAGGAUCAUAUUCCAUGCCAGGACCUCAUCCUACUCUGAAUAAUCCUUACCAAGUAACAUCAGGACCUUCUGGUACCCCACCAAUACCUGGUGACCCCCGUGAAGUGAAUGAAGUCCCAGGGGGGUCCCGUCCUGAUACAUCCAACCAGGAGAGCACCCCAGAGACCACUGGACAAAUGAAGCAACUGAAGGUAGAUGACAAACCCAUCAAGAGGAGACGGUCCAAAAAGAAGAGUAAGCCGGUAACUUGGGGAGACAUCAAGACAUUAACUCAUGAAGCUGAGACCUUGGGGAAACAGCAAGGACACAAUACUGCUGACCCCAAAAUGAUGCUGUUAUGUUUAAUGACUAUACUACAUGUUAAUUCUCAGCGUGGGAAUGCAGAAUCCAAAUGAAUUGUCAGCAGUAAUAAAUGGCACACUGUAAUAAACAGUAUGAUGUUGUUUUGUCAAAAAAAAAAAAAAGGAAAAAACAAAAAUAAAAAACCCCAUCACCAUCAGUCAACUGUUUUGUUCUGGGCUUUGUCCAACUUUGUGGGCUUGGUUGUUAGUGGGUACCUUCAAGAAACAGCUAGGUCCUCAAGUGUCAUCAAUAUACCAGUCAGCGACAAGUUUUAGCCUUCUCUAGAUGCAGAAGACACAGAGCAGUCACAGCUGAAGGCUUCCCAGUAGCCCUAGUUCUCCAUUAGGGUCUGCCCCCAUCCCUCCAGGUCAGUGAUCAGGACCGCAACACUUCCAGCAUUUGUGGUGAAGACCAGGCCUAAACCACUGAGCAUUGUGACACACUGUGAAUGAAGCUUUCCCUGAAGCUUGGCUCUUGCCUUUUGUGGAUGUGGGGGUCAGCCUCUCUAAGACCCCUCACCCUGGACCUUCCAGUUAAACAUUC
RNAcentral lists this long non-coding RNA (1426 nucleotides) under Cricetulus griseus (Chinese hamster). RNAcentral's name for it is "lncRNA (ENSCGRG00000026385.1)". The record is from RNAcentral. Lineage: Eukaryota; Metazoa; Chordata; Mammalia; Rodentia; Cricetidae.